Molecule: long non-coding RNA, 5592 nt
Organism: Corvus moneduloides (New Caledonian crow)
Lineage: Eukaryota; Metazoa; Chordata; Aves; Passeriformes; Corvidae
Source: Ensembl
AUGAAAUUAAAAAAAGGCGCCCCCCCUGCCCCGGGGGGUGGGGGCGACAGGGAGCCGGGAGCCAAGCGCUGCACUCUCCAAGCGAAGCCUCUGCAGGGAUCGGCCAACUUACCCCGGGCAAAACAACUACGCGGCGGCCGCCCCACCGUUCCCGGUCGCUCCGGCCACUUGUCCUCCCGCCCGCCCGCCGCUGCCCGCCGCGGGGACCGCGCACCGCCGCCGCUGCCCCGCUCCGCCGCUGCUCGCCCGCAGCCCCGGGGCGACGUGGGGCCGAGCCCGGCGCGGUGGCGGCCGAUGCCGGUGCGGCGCUGCCGAGGAGCGGUGGGGGAGCCGGCGCCUUCCCGGAAUGGCUCAGCCCUCGGGAGGGAGGGAGCGAGAGAGCGAGGGAGGAGGGGGGCGGCAGCGCCGCGGCUUGGUCCCACCUCCUGCCGGGCAGGGCGGCGCGGCCCUGCCCCAGCCGAGCCGAGCGGCGGAGAAGGAGAGCCGGCUGCUGGCGGCGGAGUGGAGAGAGCCGCGCCGAGCCGAGCCGAGCCGAGCCGCGCCGCCCCUUGGCCUGCCGGGCUGGGCGCUGGCCGGGCCCGGUGCGCCGCGCCCGCCGCCGGCUCGGGUUACGGGAGCCGCGGCCGCCGCAGCCAAUGCGGGGCCGCCUGGCGCCUUCGAACGGCAGGUUUUCCCGUCUUUUUCUAAAGAAAAGCUACCGGAGAGAGCACCAUCCCGGGAAAGGGUGGGGUUGGACAGGCAGGAAAACGCGCCUGCCGGGCGGCCCGGGGAAGCGGCGCCGAAACGGCCCCGGUCCCGCUCUGUCCAGACGCGGGGAGGGACCCAGAGUCACGGGUGGCCGCCGUGGGCCGGGAGCGGAGCGGGAUCUCCCGGAGCAUCUCCGCUGUUGCCGCCGUCGCCAAGGGCUUUGUCACCGGCCCUGGCCCCGGCCCCGCGCCUCCCUGCCCCGCUGCCCACCCUCCCCCUGGGGUGGCCGCCUUUGUCCCCGGUCCCUCCUGCCUCGGCAGGUUGAAAGAGCUGCCUCCAGCAUCCCUGCCACCUCUCCGCUCCUGGGAACGGCAUAUUCCUUUAGACCUCAGUGGCGCGGGAGGAAACGGCCCCGAAGUCUCAGAUAACGCUUAUUCCUCGGUAGAAUCUUCCCAGGUUCUGGUCAUCCUUACUGCCCGGAGGCUGGCGUGCCAGCCUCAACUUCUGCGUACAUCGGACAGAACCUAGCAAAGGAUAUGGAAAGUUCAUAAAGUGAAUUUCCUAGGCAACAUGUGGGCAGAUUUCUUGUAUCUUUGCAUCGCAUUCCCUGUGUUUCAGUCUAAUGCACUUUUCCUUGGGUUAUGAUAUUUGUCUGUGGGAUGCUUUUUGGCCAGUAUCACACUGUAAAAAUGAAAGGUGUACCAGGACACCUAACAUCCUUAAAAAGCCGUGGGGAAUUGCCAGCUUUGUGUUCCUUAGGAACCUGAGUAAAUGGUUUGACUCCAGGGUUAAUCCAGUGCAACGUCAGGUUUCUGACCACACUGGAAAGCUGGUCAAGACACCCUCUAGCUAUAAAGAGACAUCAAAUCUGAUGCCAGAGCAUGGGAUGCAGAGCAUAUGGCCUGUGCAUGGAGGGAACAUCGGAACAGAGAGGGAUGGAGGAUUGCAACUUCUGCCUUUUGAUGUUAUCUUUCUCAGUCUCGGUAAAGCUGCAGUUUCUUCAUGGUUUUCUGCACAAGUCUAUCAUCCUGGGUUUCUGAGCCCAGAUAUACCCUCAGCAAACUAGACAACUGCCUAUUCCCUACCACAGCAAAACAGCAGACCCUCCCUGCUCCUGGAGGAGUUCAUCCCCUCCGUGGGCGCUGUUGUCCCUUUUCUCCUGAGGAAGCUGUUUAUCCCGUUAUUAUCAAAAGGGUAAGAGGAGCUUAGGACAGAGGACAGGCACUGGUUCACUUCAUGUGGGAUUUGCAGGUGCAUUCUUGGUAGCACACCGCACAGACGUGAAGAUGUGAAGAGGACAGCUCUCCCCUAGCACAAACCCACACCAGGGUAGUUCCCUAGAGAGGAGGGAAUCCCAUUGUACACCCAGUGGUGAGUCCUGUUUGCUCCUUUCAAGGAGCCAGGGGCCACGCAGGACAAGAGCUGUGCUCUGACCUGGGUUCCACCUUGGUGACAGCUCUCCAGAAGGUGCAGUCCUGGCUGUGGCAGGUCAGGCUUUCCUGAGGUUGCCACCUCAGCAGCAGAGUCAGCCCUUAGGACAUGGAAACCAGCAGGUGUCCAUGCCAAGAGGUCACUGAUCCUGGGGUCUGGGACAGACAGGCCAUGGCCAGCAUAGCAUGGCAUCAGGCUGUGUCCCAUCUGCUGCUUCUCACCACCCUGAACCACAGCUCAUGGCUGCAUUGUAUCUAGAAGGCACCCAGGCGUUUUUUGAGCCAAGCCUUUUAUUUACAAGGUUUUAAUCAUAUCCUUCCCCACAGGAAGAGGAAAGUGCUUCUCCCAGACCCUCCCAAGCGCUGAUCUGACUAGCAGGUCCCUGGCCAGUGGCCGGGGGAAGGAGGAGCAGAGCAGGGGGAUAUUGCAGAGCAAUCGUUCGCCACUGGCCAAAGUUGAAAAGAGAGAGAAACCUCUGGCGGCUGCGUUACAAACACAGGUGAAGCUACCCUGUGGCAGUGCCUGGCCUGGGCAGUUUAUUGCUGGGCUUGCGUGAUGUUUGCUUCCCCACUCUCCCAAGAAAAGCAGUCUUUCCUAGGUGAGACCUGUCAAAGUUUGAGCAUUAUUGAUGCAGAAACUGAGCUCAGCAGUCAGGGGCUCCUCAGAGGAAGUGAGGAGAUUAUUAAUAUCCACAGAGGAUGUCCCUGUGAUGAUUAAGACUUGCUUUCAGUACUCAGUGAGUAUGUCUGUGCUUUUGGAAAUGUUAACACCACAGAUCCACCCUGAUGCUGUCCACAAGGGGUUUGCUGUCAAUGCUGCCAUUCUGGUGCCCAGGGGGCUGUUGAGGCAUGGUGACCUGCUGUGCUUGGGCUUCCAGAGGCCUGUAUGCCCAGGAGGUGGCAUUGAAGCUGCCAGGUGUGCAGAUGGCAGCUGGUGUGAGUGACUGUGACCUGAAUCAAGUGGACACUAUGCAUCAUGACCUGUACUGCUCCUUAAUCUUCUCUUCAAGGUGGACCUUGCAGUGCAGUGUAGAGGAAAAUCCCUUCAUUUUUGAAAGGCAAGGCAGCAGUGCUAGAGCAGGGGUAUCAAAAACUGUCUGUGGCCCAGGUGAUCUAUGGGCACAGUGGAACCAAGGGCUGGGUUGGGAUAAGAUUUUAAAUGCUUUGAUAGCUUGGAGGGAAAGGAAUAGGUCAAUGCACAGUUUUAUGAUCAAUAACAAAUCCAAUGCUGCAAAGCACAUUUUUAAUCAACACAAAUAAUACAUAAUGUUGGGGUAUUUUUGAUGGGUUUGUAGUUUCAGUUUUAGUGAAAAAACCCUGUUUCCCAGUGUUGUUCAGAAGGCAUUGUGAUUUCCUCCUGCCAAUUUAGAUGAAGUGUAGGAGCAGUUGGUAAACAACACGCUAUGGAUUCCCUCUUGUUACAUCUGGCCAUGGGGCCUUCUGCAAGCUGCCAGUGAAAAACUUUUAAUAUGCAUGUUAUCUUAAGCUUUUGAUGCUCAUGUAAGACAGCAUCAAAGCCUAUCCCUUGCAUUGAAUCAGAUGGGCACUUCCACCCUCUUCAGUCAAGGAUGAAAUUUUAAAACGAAUUGCAGCAAAAUAAGAAUUUUAGAAAAAAAAAACAACAAAACAACUACCAGCAGCAUACUGGGUAAAAAUGCUCUUGAUGUUAACUCCUGAACUCAGCAGGUGAUGCAAAAAAUGAAUUUGGUUCCUGAUAGAACACAGCGAUACACAGCUUCAUUGAAGUCUUACCAAAGCAUUCCCUCUACAGGGAUAUGUCAGUAUUACAGAAGACACCGCAGCUCAGAGCUGUGCUGCCGCUUUCCUCCCUACCCCGGAGAGGGGUGGCUCUUCCAAAGCCCACUCAGAGGUGUGGGAGUGGGCAGAGGAGCAGGAUUAAUCCCAGUGAGACUCUCCCGGACCCUGGUGUUCUUAGGCAGCCUAAGAAAUACACGCCGCUGCCUGUGCAUCAAGACUGUGAUCCAGUUUAUGUGUGCUAGGGACCCAUUUCAUAGAACACAUACUCUGUGAAUCAUUUACAUGGGGUAUAAAUCAUCUGUGGCACUGGUGUUUUCCCAUAAAUCAGCACCAAGGCCUAAUACUUGAUUAAUGUUUUGAAAUGGAGCAUCCAGAUUGCAACAAUGGGAGCUCUCUUUUGUGAGACAAAGCUGUGCGAUAACAAAAAAUGUGCAGUGCUCCAAACUCUGCUAUCAAGAUAGGCACCUCACUUCCAGCCUGAUUAAGCAGUAUUUUCAGCCAGAACACUUUUCCAGGUAGCAACGACCUGAAGAACCAUCUUGUGUCAUUCUUCCUUCUUUUCCCAGAUCAGCUGAACCAUCCUGUGAAAAGAUUUCAUACCUCCAUUUGCCCAUCUGGCUGAGCAAUGAGGAAAACGCAGUCUCUUGGAAGAUUAUGCAGCACUCCUUAAUGCUGGCUUCUGGCAAUAUAACUGGGCCAUCCAGUUCAUUCUCUCUCCUUAUGAAAAUGGUAUGUUUUAGUGGAGGAUUUCAUCUUGUGUCCACAAAGCCUUUUUAUUUUGUGCCCUGAAACUGCUAGUAAAAUUCUACAAUGCACCGACUUGUUUUAAGGAUUUCAGGAUAUUCAGAAAAUUAUUAUGAUUGUAACCAGCAAACUCUUUGCCUUGCCAGAAAAACAAGUCCUCCAAAAGGCAUAAGUAGUAGCCUCUAAACAUUGCUACAAAGAGCAGCAUCCAAACUGGAGGCCAGUGGAGAUGAAGAGCUGUUCCUUGAAGGAAGGCAUGGGAGGUGUGUGUUCUCAAGAUGUGCCUCAAAUGCUGUUUUCCAGUCCUGUUUUGAAGUGUCCUGCAUUCACCCAAGAGGUGCACAUUCACGUGUUGGGUGUAGAUCUGCUCGGUGCAGGCAUCCUUACAGGGCUGAUGGAGCAAUACCAAGUCAGAUCUCUUGUCGCAGUGGCAGCUACAGAGUAGGCAUACACAGUAUGUUUGAGCCAAAAAGAAAAAGCCCAUAAAAAUCCCCUCACCCACAGUGUUAACUACCACUUCAUUUUCAUGGAAGUUUAUAACCAUUUUGUGCAACUCCAGAUGUGGAGGUUUUUUCCCUCAUCCCUAAUCUGUAUGUUGGUAAAGGACUGGAAGCUAAACCCUAAGAAGGAGUAGGCAAUGCUGCUCCUACCUGGGAGCUGCAGAUGAUUGGCAUGUCUCAAACACAUACAUAAUAACUGGAGCAAAAAUUUCACUGCUAAUUUAGUGUGUAGUGGGGAUCCAACUUCAUUGUGCACUCAGAAGGCUAUACACAAUAUCAGAGCAAUUUUUUUUUAAGUAUUAAGAAAAAUGUCCGAACUCCACUUACAAGAUUUGAAUCAUCAGGAUUGCCACAUGCCUGUGAGCUGAGGCCAUGUCCUGGGGAGCUGUCACAUGCUCCACCAUCAUCCACCCAAAGAGGAGAGAUACUGAGACUUUGGAAUCAAGUGUGUGCCAAGAAAAAAUUUUACAAAA